RNAcentral lists this ribosomal RNA (427 nucleotides) under uncultured prokaryote. Its description in RNAcentral is "bacterial SSU rRNA". It matches the Rfam family "Bacterial small subunit ribosomal RNA", at positions 355 to 774 of the family's 1533-position model. The record is from RNAcentral.
UAGGGAAUCUUCGGCAAUGGGCGAAAGCCUGACCGAGCAACGCCGCGUGAAUGAUGAAGGCCUUCGGGUUGUAAAAUUCUGUUAUAAGGGAAGAACGACUUUAGUAGGAAAUGGCUAGAGUGUGACGGUACCUUAUGAGAAAGCCACGGCUAACUACGUGCCAGCAGCCGCGGUAAUACGUAGGUGGCGAGCGUUAUCCGGAAUUAUUGGGCGUAAAGAGCGCGCAGGUGGUUGAUUAAGUCUGAUGUGAAAGCCCACGGCUUAACCGUGGAGGGUCAUUGGAAACUGGUCGACUUGAGUGCAGAAGAGGGAAGUGGAACUCCAUGUGUAGCGGUGAAAUGCGUAGAUAUUGGGAGGAACACCAGUAGCGAAGGCGGCUCUCUGGACUGUAACUGACGCUGAGGCACGAAAGCGUGGGGAGCAAACA